Molecule: RNA transcript, 4493 nt
Organism: Callithrix jacchus (white-tufted-ear marmoset)
Lineage: Eukaryota; Metazoa; Chordata; Mammalia; Primates; Cebidae
Source: RefSeq, a predicted model, not a curated record
CUUCAAAAUGCAAACAAGAACUUUAGACAGUGAUCCCUAUCAGCCGGUGAGGCCGGGCGCAGAUGCCGGGUGCUGUUUUGGCCGUUGCUUAGCAAUGGAAAAUGAACUGUUCCUGUCUCUUAUCACUGGAGGUGGAGAAAAAUGCACACUUUUGGAACAUUUUGCCAAUGAUGAUGGAAUGUGGACUGUGAGCAUCCCCAGCCUUCUCCUGCCUACACCCUGGUUCUAAUGUACCUGCCCUAGGGUGGACCCAAUCUAAUCACAUUGGAGAACCAUUCCUGGCUGUUGUCACAGAGGGGGAAUGUGACAACAUAAGAAUGGCUGGAGAAAUCCAACACUGCUGGCUUCAGAGAAGGGCCUGGUGGAGGGCUCACUAUCAAGGAGUGAAGGCUCUUGAAGCUGGAAGGGCCAGAAGAUGUGUUCUCCCCUAGUGCCUCCAGAAGCAACACCACUGACACCUUGAUUUUAGUCCAGUGAGACCCAGGUUGAACUCCUUGAAACUGGCUUUGCAAAAAUUAUAACAGUGAGAACAUUAUGACAGUGAGAGAGAUCCAACUUGACCAACUCCAUCUUGCCUUUUACCACCAAAUGGCCCUUGGUCAUGCCUGGCUGUGGGCCAAGCUAACUUGGGAGAAAUUUAGUUUAUAGUUUAAAUAAUGUUAGCCUUUUCCAAAACUAAAUGCCUUCAUAAAACUAAUAAAAGCCCCCAAGUUUAAGAUUAUAAGAGGAGCCUGAAUUCUGCUAACAUGUAGAUGUAGUUGAACAAUUACCAGCCGCUGGUCUGGAGGUCACAAGAUUUGUAAGUUCCCCAAUUAUUCCUGUAAAUAACAUCACUAUUGCAGAACCUUAGAUUGGCCUUUUGAGAUGCCUUUUCAGGCUUUUGCAUUUCUGAUGGACUGAAUGACUCCACUCAGACCUGAGUCUCAAGACUCAACCUCUCAACCAGUCCUGUGGCCCCAUUCAGAAGGGAUCUCAGUGCAUAGUAGGGUAGGACCAUUUUCCACCCUACCCUACUAUGAUUGUGUCCCUGACCAGUCAGCAGCACCCAUUCCCUAGCCCCAUGCCCACCAAACUAUUCUACUGGAGGUCUGAGAGAGGAUGUCUCAGCCUGGUGCACCGUAUAGAGCUGGAGCCAGCUCCAGAACUUCCACAAAAGAACCUUUGAGGAUGGACCUGCCAUGGGGAUUACUAGAGCACCAACCCCACAAGACACUGCUGCUGUCCCUCGAAUUCCGUCUCCCCUUCCUAGCUCUGGAGACCCAAGCUAGGGAGAGAGAAGGAGCAGAAGAUCAACUGGGAGGAAGAAUGAACCAGGCCCUCUUUCCAUCCCCACAAUAUCCUCAAAUCACUAGUAAGCCUGAGCUGGGAGAGGAGAUUCAUGGAGCGGGGUUGAGAUUGAGGUUUUGGUGUAUGCUAGAUUGGCCUUUUUACUAAUCCCUAAAUAAAGCUGUUUUCCUAACUGAAAGUAAGUGAAAAUCUGUGGCUCUGCAUGAAAUGUAGUUAAGCAGUAGGGAAGGAAGAGACCACAGGACAUGUUGGAAGGCAGCGAGGGGAGAAAGCAAAGCUCUUUCCUCUUGAACCCCACGCAGCUCAACCUGCUGGGGAAUCUGGUUCUGAUGCAACUAAACCCAGUAAGCAUCAUUACAGAUGUAUCUUGACUUCUGUAGGAGAGACCAGCUGGGAAGUUACACAGACCUCCCCUCCUCUCCUUUAAAAAAAUUUUUUUAAAUAAAACAUUUCAGGCAUGGUAAUUCCCAUCUGUAAUCCCAGCACUUUGGGAGGCCAAGGUAGGAGGAUCAUUUGAAGCCAGAAUUUCAAGACCAGCCUGGGCAAUAAAGUGAAACCCUAUGUCUGCAAAAAAUUAUUUUUAAUUAGCCGGGCAUGGUGGUGCAUACCUGUAAGUCCCAACUACUCAGGAGGAUGAGGCAAAAGGAUCACUUGAGCCCAGGAAUUUCAGGCUGCAAUGAGCUGUGAUUGCACCACUGCACUCCAGCCUGGAUGACAGAGCAAGACUCCAUCGGAAAAAAAAAAAAAAGCCAAAACAAUGCCAAGAAAAAGAUACAAAAAUUGGGGGAUGUUUCAAAUAUAUGCAUUUAGCAAACUAAUGACUGUUGGUUAAAAAAAUACAAUCCAAUAUGGUUGUGUCGGUCAUCAUGGAGUCAGUUUAUUACUUUAAAAUAACUACAAGUUUAUGAUGUAGUGUGGCCAGUGUGAUGGAGUAAUGAGACAUAUUUAAAGGCCAAUGAUGAAUCUUCUUGCUUUUCAAUGCAGUCAGUGUAUUAUCCCUGUGUGUGUAUGUGUACACACACACCAUUCUGAUAACCUCAGAAGUCCAGAUUUGAGAAGGUGUGGCCCCAAUCAAAUGACCCUUCUGCCCCUAACCCCCACAUUCCAUGACCGGCCAUAGCAGGUAUAGGGGAGUUAAGGGAAAUGUUCCCAGACAGUGACAUUUGAACUAGGUCCUGAGAGAUCAGGAUGACUCCUCCAGGUAAGAAAGGGCAUUCUGAGUCAAAGGACUCACCCUCUAAAAACACAGAUGCUUGAGAGAACCUGGCAUGUUGGCAGAGCCGAUGGUGUGUUUCAGGGCUACGGAGAACAGAAGGCAAUGAGAGAAGCAAUGAAGACAUAAAUGACCCCAGAUGCCAAAGGGCCUUGACUGUUGAGCUGGGGCUUCAACUUGAUCCUGAGGACCCCAGGGAAUAAAGGAGUUUUUGAAGCAGGAUGAGAUCAGGUUUAGAAGGUGACUCUGAGGGUGGCACAGAGGAGGGAGGCUGAGGCCUGACCCAAAAGAAUGUGGCCUGGAGAGGGGCAGUCAGAGGGGAGAGAGAUUUCUGAGGUGGGAUCUGUCACGGCACAGUGGCCAGAUUCUGCCUGGGGACAAAGCAGGGUCAAAUGUGACUAUAAGCCGCCAUUUAGGAGCCCAAGAAAUGUUAUGGACCAAGACCUGGACUAAAUCCAUAUGGGUAGAUGAAUUUGAUUUUAGAUGUUUUAGACAUUUACAUUCCAUGUGAGUUACAUGCCAGAAACAUCCACUGAGGAGGACUCCAGACCCCUAGUCCCUUCCUGUGUCUUGAAAUUCCACAACCUCAGGGGCCCGUGAAGUCAAUUCUUUUCUUCUCUGCUUGGUUCUAGCGAGGGGUGAGCCUGAACUGGAGAUAGCUGUGGGGAGCAAAGAGAAACAGGCCAGGGCUGCUUUUCUUCUAAAACAUUUGAAGUAUAGCCCAAUUUCAUUUAUUCUCAAAGACCACUCUAUCUAAUCUAUAAGAAAAAAAUGAUAUGUGUGUAUAUAAAUAAAUUGUAUAUGUAUGUAUGCAUGCCUGUAAAAUAAGGUAUAUAUGUAUAUCUUCUGAAAUGAUUAUACCCCCAGUUCUUUAACAAUCAACAAUACUCUUGUACCAGGCUCAAGCCACUCUCCUGACUCCCAUGGCUCAGAAGGCAUAGAGGGUAGAUAGUCAAGAGACCAACUCACCACUGUCAUUUAUAUCAUAUAAAUCUGUAUAUAACCUGACAGGGGGGUGGCAGUCACCAACAUGUUAAGGAUGAUUACCUAGAUGGCAGGAUUUCAGGUGGUUUUUUCUCUUUAAUAUUUUAUAUACGGCCAGGCACAGUGGCUCAUGCCUGUAAUCCCAGCACUUUGGGAGGCCGAGGCGGGCGGAUCACGAGGUCAAGAGAUCGAGACCAUCCUGGUCAACAUGGUGAAACCCUGUCUCUACUAAAAAAUACAAAAAAAUUAGCUGGGCAUGGUGGCACGUGCCUGUAAUCCCAGCUACUCGGGAGGCUGAGGCAGGAGAAUUGCCUGAACCCAGGAGGCGGAGGUUGCGGUGAGCCAAGAUCGCGCCAUUGCACUCCAGCCUGGUAACAAGAGCGAAACUCCAUCUCAAAAAAAAAAAAGAAUAUUUUAUAUACAAUUGUAAUUUUUGUAAUAUACAUAUUUUUCCUGAAAAAAAAAAAAAAAAAGGUGAGCAGCCUGGGCAACAUAGUGAGACCCAUCUCUACAAAAAAUUUAAAAAUGAGCUUGGCAUAUUGGUGCAUGCCUGUAGUCCCAGCUCCUCGGGAGGCUGCAGUGGAAGGACCACUUGAGCCCAGGAGUUUGAGGCUGCAGUGAUCAUGCCACUGUACUGCAGCCUGGGUGACACAGCAAGAUUUCAACUCGAAAAAAAAAAAGGGAAGAAAGGGAAUCAGCUUUACCUUAUGUUACCAGUGGGAAUUUCAGCAAGCAACUUAACUAUGCCAGAAGCUGUAAGAUAAACCUUUCAUUUGAACCGACAAGUUUACUCCCAAGAAUGCAUACUAAAGAAGUACUCUGCAUUCUACUACAACCUAAUAAUCACAUUUCCAAACUUACAAAAAUUGCCUAAUUAAAUGAAGGAGUUGUUUCGAUGAUUUAUAUAUUUUGAAAAAGGAGGUGGGUAGAUACUACAAGUUUCACAUACACAGUAAAAAGUGAUUUGUUUUUCUUACAGGAAUUUUGAUAAUAAAGUAUAUCUUAACUG